AAUAUGCGACAAUGGGGGCAACCCUAUUCCAGCCCUGCCGCGAGUGUGAAGAAGGUCUUCGGAUUGUAAAGCACUUUAAGUAGGGAGGAAGGGCUGUAGCCUAAUACUUUGAAGUUUUGACGUUACCAACAGAAUAAGCACCGGUAAACUCUGUGCCAGCAGCCGCGGUAAUACAGAGGGUGCAAGCGUUAAUCGGAAUUACUGGGCGUAAAGCGCGCGUAGGUGGUUCAGUAAGAUGGGUGUGAAAGCCCCGGGCUUAACCUGGGAACUGCUUUCAUAACUGCUGAGCUAGAGUACGGUAGAGGGUAGUGGAAUUUCCUGUGUAGCGGUGAAAUGCGUAGAUAUAGGAAGGAACACCAGUGGCGAAGGCGACUACCUGGACUGAUACUGACACUGAGGUGCGAAGGCGUGGGGAGCGAACA
Molecule: ribosomal RNA, 422 nt
Filed under: uncultured bacterium
Lineage: Bacteria
Description: partial 16S ribosomal RNA
Rfam family: Bacterial small subunit ribosomal RNA
Source: RNAcentral